Molecule: ribosomal RNA, 380 nt
Filed under: uncultured eukaryote
Lineage: Eukaryota
Description: partial 18S ribosomal RNA
Rfam family: Eukaryotic small subunit ribosomal RNA
Source: RNAcentral
CAAUAGCGUAUAUUAAAGUUGUUGCGGUUAAAAAGCUCGUAGUUGGAUUUCUGCUGAGAACGACCGGUCCGCCCUCUGGGUGUGUAUCUGGCUCUUUCUUGGCAUCUUCUUGGUGAACGUUGCUGCACUUGACUGUGUGGAGCGCUACCCAGGACUUUUACUUUGAGGAAAUUAGAGUGUUUCAAGCAGGCAUACGCCUUGAAUACAUUAGCAUGGAAUAAUAAGAUAGGACCUCGGUUCUAUUUUGUUGGUUUCUAGAGCUGAGGUAAUGAUUAAUAGGGAUAGUUGGGGGCAUUCGUAUUUAACUGUCAGAGGUGAAAUUCUUAGAUUUGUUCAGGACGAACUAGUGCGAAGGCAUCUACCAAGGAUGUUUCCAUUAA